CGCGCUCCCUCCCGGAGCGCUGGAGACAGAUAUGCAAGAUGGCAGAGGAGGGGGAAAGCCAAUAGAAAAGGGAUAUUGCACCUACUUGUGGCCAGUUUCCUUGCCCUGCCUUUGGAUCUCAUGCUGUGCCCAGUCCUGCAGCCGCUGGAAAUUUUCUAUACAUCCACGGAGAAAACAAGAAGUGGGGCUUUUAAAACCUUUUUCCAUAUUAAAGAACUAGAAGGACAGGACUCUUAAAUGAUCCAGGAGAAAGUGAGAAUCAUCCUGAACUUCAGGAAAUCUGCUGCCGCCGCUCUUACUGCUACUGAAGCUAUUUCGGCUUGUGCUUUCGGAGUUGAAAGUAGAACAAGAUUUACCAAUGAAGUGGGCACAUAGAAAUGGGGAAAUCCUAAAGGGGCCAGCUGUGUUCAAGACGGCGAAGGGCAAGAGGAUGAGGCGUCGCUGGAACACCCUCCCCUUCUCGUUUUUAAAGUCCCUGGGGUCGCGGCCGCCUCUGCGAAUGCCUGGUCUUUCCAAGAGUUUCGGGACACGAGCAAAUCCAACCUCUUCCAACUGAAAUAAUAAACACAAACUCCUCUGUGCCCUAGGGCCAAAGCAUUGUGACUAGACAAGGCAUCAUUCUUUUUGUUGUUUUUUUAGUAAAGU
Molecule: long non-coding RNA, 645 nt
Organism: Lynx canadensis (Canada lynx)
Lineage: Eukaryota; Metazoa; Chordata; Mammalia; Carnivora; Felidae
Exons: 4
Source: RefSeq, a predicted model, not a curated record